RNAcentral lists this ribosomal RNA (526 nucleotides) under uncultured eukaryote. RNAcentral's name for it is "bacterial SSU rRNA". It matches the Rfam family "Eukaryotic small subunit ribosomal RNA", at positions 111 to 624 of the family's 1831-position model. The record is from RNAcentral.
UAUAAAAUAAGUAGCGUUGCUUUUACUACUCGGCUAACCGUAGUAAUUCUAGAGCUAAUACGUGCUAAAACACCCAGCUAAAAAUUUUGGAAGGGUGGGGCAGAUUAGAUACAGAACCAAUGCAGGGGGCAACUCCUGACCUUGGGAUGAUUCAAAAUGUGCAAUAACGAACCGCAUUGCUUUUUGCAAGCGGUGUGCUACUAUGUGUUUCUGCCCUAUCACGGUAGACGGUGAGGUAUUGGCUCACCGUGCCUUUAACGGGUAACGGGGAAUCAGGGUUCGAUUCCGGAGAGGGAGCCUGAGAAACGGCUACCACAUCCAAGGAAGGCAGCAGGCGCGCAAAUUACCCAAUCUCGAUACGAGGAGGUAGUGACGAAAAAUAGCAAUGUAGAGCCUUUUUGGUUUUGCAAUUGAAAUGAGUACAAUUUAAACGAUCUAACGAGGAUCAAUUAGAGGGCAAGUCUGGUGCCAGCAGCCGCGGUAACUCCAGCUCUAAUAGCGUAUAUUCAUGUUGCUGCAGUUAAAA